Molecule: long non-coding RNA, 526 nt
Filed under: Manihot esculenta (cassava)
Lineage: Eukaryota; Viridiplantae; Streptophyta; Magnoliopsida; Malpighiales; Euphorbiaceae
Description: long non-coding RNA (MESC_LNC002373)
Source: RNAcentral
CUUCAGAAAAAGCUUUGCUCCCUAGUUCAACUGAACAAAAGCAAUUUUUUGACUAUGGGCCUACUGCCGGCAUUCCUCUAGGAGGUGGUGGUGGAGAUCCGGGCGAGAUACCUUCAGAAAAAGCUUUGCUCCCUAGUUCAACUGAACAAAAGCAACUUUUUGACUAUGGGCGCAGAGCCGGCAUUCGUCAAGGAGGUGGUGGUGGAGAUCUGGGCGAAAUAUCUUCGGAAAAAGCAUUAGAUAAAAUGCUUAGUCAAUUUCCAUUUAAAUAUGGGUAUUAGACUUAGUAGAUACUAAAUCAUCAAUUUCCAUCUCAUAUGGAAAAAAAUAAAAUAAAUAAAAAUAUGUGUCUUGUAUUUCUGUAAUCCUAUUUCCUUGUAUAACGGAUUAUAGAAAUUAUUAUGUGUACUUCAAAUAAAUGCAUAUGGACUUUCUCUACUGAUAAUAUGAAUAUUAAUUUUUACUAUUUCUAUUAUAGAUGUAUUUUAUAAUUUAUUAUGGGUAAUUUUCACUCAUAGUCACCUGG